CCUACGGGUGGCAGCAGUGGGGAAUAUUGCACAAUGGGGGAAACCCUGAUCCAGCAACGCCGCGUGAGUGAAGAAGGAUCUCGGUAUGUAAAGCUCUAUCAUCUGUGAAGAAAAUGACGGUACCAGACUAAGAAGCCCCGGCUAACUACGUGCCAGCAGCCGCGGUAAUACGUAGGGAGCAAGCGUUAUCCGGAUUUACUGGGUGUCAAGGGAUCGUAGACGGUGCAGCAAGUCAGAAGUGAAAGCCAAUGGCUUAACCGAGGUACUGCUCUGGAAACUGUUGAUCUUGAGUGCGGUAGGGGGAGGCGGAAUUCCUGGUGUAGGGGUGAAAUGCGUAGAGAUUGGGAGGAAAACAGGUGGCGAAGGCGGCCUACUGGGCUUUAACUGACGCUGAAGCUCGAAAGCGUGGGGAGCAAACAGGAUUAGAUACCCAGUAGUC
RNAcentral lists this ribosomal RNA (439 nucleotides) under uncultured bacterium. Its description in RNAcentral is "partial 16S ribosomal RNA". It matches the Rfam family "Bacterial small subunit ribosomal RNA", at positions 338 to 795 of the family's 1533-position model. The record is from RNAcentral.